Small nuclear RNA from Peromyscus maniculatus bairdii (prairie deer mouse), 107 nucleotides. The record is from Ensembl. NCBI's taxonomy places the organism in Eukaryota, Metazoa, Chordata, Mammalia, Rodentia, Cricetidae.
GUACCUUCCUCAGUAGCACAUGCACUAAAAUUGGCACAAUACAGAGAAGAAUAGCAUAGCCCCUGGGCAAGGGUAACACACAAAUUCAUGAAGCAUUCUAUACAAAA